AGAGUUUGAUCCUGGCUCAGGAUGAACGCUGGCGGCAUGCCUAAUACAUGCAAGUCGAACGGACCGAAGGGAAAGCUUGCUUUUCCUGAAGUCAGUGGCGAACGGGUGAGUAACACGUAGGUAACCUGCCCAUGUGCCCGGGACAACGCCUGGAAACGGGUGCUAAAACCGGAUAGGUAGAGAGAUCGCAUGAACUUUCUAUUAAAGGGGCUACGGCCCUGAACAUGGAUGGACCUGCGGUGCAUUAGCUAGUUGGUGAGGUAACGGCCCACCAAGGCGACGAUGCAUAGCCGACCUGAGAGGGCGAACGGCCACAUUGGGACUGAGACACGGCCCAAACUCCUACGGGAGGCAGCAGUAGGGAAUUUUCGUCAAUGGGGGGAACCCUGAACGAGCAAUGCCGCGUGAGUGAAGACGGUCUUCGGAUUGUAAAGCUCUGUUGCGAGAGAAAAACGACACGGAUAGGGAAUGAUCCGUGGGUGAUGGUAUCUCGCCAGAAAGUCACGGCUAACUACGUGCCAGCAGCCGCGGUAAUACGUAGGUGGCGAGCGUUAUCCGGAAUGAUUGGGCGUAAAGGGUGCGUAGGCGGCCCGUUAAGUCUGGAGUCAAAGCCGGCAGCUCAACUGUCGUACGCUUUGGAAACUGGCGGGCUGGAGUGCAGAAGAGGGCGAUGGAACUCCAUGUGUAGCGGUG
Molecule: ribosomal RNA, 693 nt
Filed under: uncultured Eubacterium sp.
Lineage: Bacteria; Bacillati; Bacillota; Clostridia; Eubacteriales; Eubacteriaceae
Description: bacterial SSU rRNA
Rfam family: Bacterial small subunit ribosomal RNA
Source: RNAcentral